Molecule: non-coding RNA, 44 nt
Filed under: Trichobilharzia regenti
Lineage: Eukaryota; Metazoa; Platyhelminthes; Trematoda; Strigeidida; Schistosomatidae
Source: RNAcentral
GUACUGUGAAGAGUCCCAAAUUGGGCGAAACAGCUGUCCAGUAC